UGGGGAAUUUUACGCAAUGGGGGAAACCCUGACGUAGCGACACCGCGUGAGCGAAGAAGCCUUUUGGGGUGUAAAGCUCUGUCAGCUGGAACGAACACAAUGACGGUACCAGCAGAGGAAGCAUCGGCUAACUACGUGCCAGCAGCCGCGGUAAGACGUAGGAUGCAAGCGUUGUCCGGAUUCAUUGGGCGUAAAGAGUUCGUAGGUGGUCUGUUAAGUUUGGUGUUAAAGAGCGGGGCCCAACCCCGAUAGUGCACUGAAUACUGGCAGACUUGAGUGCGGUAGAGGUAAGUGGAACUGCGAGUGUAGAGGUGAAAUUCGUAGAUAUUCGCAAGAACACCAGUGGCGAAGGCGGCUCACUGGCCCGAUACUGACGCUGAGGUGCGAAAGCGUGGGGAGCAAACA
RNAcentral lists this ribosomal RNA (405 nucleotides) under uncultured bacterium. RNAcentral describes it as "bacterial SSU rRNA". It matches the Rfam family "Bacterial small subunit ribosomal RNA", at positions 355 to 774 of the family's 1533-position model. The record is from RNAcentral.